RNAcentral lists this transfer RNA (73 nucleotides) under Ovis aries (sheep). It matches the Rfam family "tRNA". From Rfam's summary of the family: Transfer RNA (tRNA) molecules are approximately 80 nucleotides in length. Their secondary structure includes four short double-helical elements and three loops (D, anti-codon, and T loops). The record is from Rfam by way of RNAcentral. Lineage: Eukaryota; Metazoa; Chordata; Mammalia; Artiodactyla; Bovidae.
UCCUUGGUGGUCCAGUGGCUAAGACUCUGAGCUCCCAGUCCAGGGGGCCCAGGUUCGAUCCUUGGUCAGGGAG